ACAGUGGAAGCGCUAAAUCGAUUAAUAUCUUUGAGUGAUCGUAGAAGCAAGAUCAUGGAACAAAGCAAGGAAGAGGAUGAUAGUUUCUCCUUUAAGACUUGCAUGGAGAAAUUGUCCUCUAUGCCGGGAGUCAGUGAUGUGGAGGUAUGUGUUGCGGCCGAGGCAUUGAAAUCGCGUGAAAAUAGGAUUUUCUUCAUGACUAUGCGAUAAUCGGUUAUAGAUUGUUGGUUGAGUCUACGUAUGAAGGAAUUCCGUCAGCAGGAGUAGUUUCCAAGUUAUGCUCGAAGUUCUUGGACGGGUUGAUGUUUCAAAAGCUGAGAAUAUAUGUUCUGUAUGGACAUUAUCUAUAUAACAAAUGCUAGUGCAUUUGUUGUAUUUCAUGAAUUCUUGUAAAUGCAGUUUGUAAUGAACUAAUUGAUAUGUAUGUUCUGAACUUUUGAAUAAUGAAUUAUGCUUAUGUAACAACUACAAUUGGGUACUCUGAUAUGCAUUGUUUGUUGUGGAGUAUUUAAAUGGAUGGCACAAUUAUUUGAGAUGGGAAA
Molecule: long non-coding RNA, 542 nt
Organism: Dioscorea cayenensis subsp. rotundata (Guinea yam)
Lineage: Eukaryota; Viridiplantae; Streptophyta; Magnoliopsida; Dioscoreales; Dioscoreaceae
Exons: 2
Source: RefSeq, a predicted model, not a curated record